CUGAGUCACAGAUAGAGGAAGCUCAACAGGAAGUGGUAAGGCAGGAGGUGGUUGUGGGUAAUUCUGUAAAAAAAUUUGACUGCUGACAACGUGACAUGCGACACAGUUACACUAGAAGGUUGAUGACAUAUAUUCAUAUGCUUCGUUCUGGAAACAAGAAAUGGUCAAAAGAAGCAACAAGUGCCUGUAGCACCAAGGGCCAGGCUGGAAGAUUACAGCGUACUGUACAGGGCAGAAAGCCACCAAAAGGCCAGAGUCUGGUCAUGCCUGCUUAUCCGUCUGUGUGUCGCCGCAAUGACACGCAUCGUUUUCAUCAAACUCCUCAUCGUCGUGCUGGCGGCCUUCAUCAUUUGCCUCCCAGAGUUCUUCACUUCAGAUCAAGAAGAGGCACAUCAGCAGUUCUUCUGCUGCAGUAACUGCACCGCACAGCAGGAGAACAGAACCGCGCAGCAGGAGAACAGAACCGCGCAGCAGGAGAACAGAACCGCGCAGCAGGAGAACAGAACCCAUGCGGCUACCAGACUCAACCACCACUGUUGCAUCCUCCACUCUCCGGGAACAAACCCAGCGGGAUGUAAAACUUCCCCUCUGGACACACACACACCGGGAGCACACUGGUGGAGCGGCAGACUCACCUGGCUGGCGCUCAUCCUGGCCGUCAUCCUGCUGGUCCUGGGCAGCCUCGUGUAUGAAGUUCAGCGGGGGACUAACGGCCGCAGAAAGAAGGCUGCAGUGCUCCCCAUCAGCACCAAUCAACCCCCCCAGUCCCCGGGGAGGCAUAUGAGCGGGAGAACUCCAGCAGAGCUCAUGGAUGAGGUGUAUUUCAAUGGCUACAGAUGCAGAUAUAAAAGAUCAACACUCUCCCCAAUUUGUGAAUAUGAAGCAGGCCCGGAGCUUCCCGUCCAGGAGAACCACGUCAAUAGUGGUGAGAGAAAAAGCGCCCAUCGUUGGAGAACAGGAAAUUGAGCAGAAAACACAUGUUGAAAUAACUUUUCCACCACCUUGUGUUUUUGUGCCCAUUUACUGAGCUUUUGCCAAACAGAAAUAGAGAAAAGAACACUGAGAUUCUGCCUCUGCGUCACGCCCAGCAAACGAGCCCUCCCUGACAGGAAGGAACUAACUCCAGCCCGCGCUCUGCUGCCAAAGCACAUGUGAAACUUCAAUGGGGCGUCAGUUAAGGAUUCAUUAAUACUAGAAAAGGAGAUUAAAUGUGCUGCACAGAGUAGAUUGGAAAGGUUCAGUUACAAACUUUACAAUCCUCAUUUCUCACCGUUAGCAUGGAGACCUGGUACUGGUGGCUGGCUCACCAUUCAAGCUGAUACACUCCAUCUGCUUAAGGAAGAACACGCUGAGUAUGCAAGCAUAUACGCACAGAGCUGUCUCACGCAGUGCUGUGAUUGGCCACACUCAGGCAUGUAUGCACAGAGCUGUCUCACGCAGUGCUGUGAUUGGCCACACUCAGGCAUGUAUGCACAGAGCUGUCUCACGCAGUGCUGUGAUUGGCCACACUCAGGCAUGUAUGCACAGAGCUCACUCUUCCGCAGUGCUGUGAUUGGCCACACUCAGGCAUAUACACACAGAGCUGUCUCACGCAGUGCUGUGAUUGGCCACACUCAGGCAUGUAUGCACAGAGCUCACUCUUCCGCAGUGCUGUGAUUGGCCACACUCAGGCAUGUACGCACAGAGCUCACUCUUUCGCAGUGCUGUGAUUGGCCACAGUCAGGCAUGUACGCACAGAGCUCACUCAUACGCAGUGCUGUGAUUGGCCACAGUCAGGCAUGUACACACAGAGCUCAGUCUCAAGCAGUGCUGUGAUUGGCCACACUCAGCAUGUACACACAGAGCUCAGUCUCAAGCAAUGCUGUGAUUGGCCACACUCAGGCAUGUACACACAGAGCUCACUCUCACGCAGUGCUUUGAUUGGGGGCAACAUAGCUCAGGAGGUAAGAGCGGUUGUCUGGCAGUCGGAGGGUUGCCGGUUCGAUCCCCGCACUGGGCGUGUCGAAGUGUCCCUGAGCAAGACACCUAACCCCUAACUGCCCUGGUGGAUGAGAGGCAUCAAUUGUAAAGUGCUUUGGAUAAAAGCGCUAUAUAAAUGCAGUCCAUUUACCACUAGCCUUCUUUCCCCCUGUCUCAGAAGCCCCCAGUCACAUUAGAGGCUUCUGUCCUCUGUUGACAGGUUUUCUUCUACUGUUAUAAAUUUACUUAAUUUCAUUAUCCUGUUUUCAUGGUUUUUGUUAUGGAGUGUCUGGUUUAUGCCUAUUAUUUUUUUUAAUAAAAUGAUGCUUUAGGUAUUUACUUUACCAUUAUGUAAUAGAAUUGUCUUCCUAAAAUUGUGCAAAGUAAGGCUAUUUAUUUAAUGUGCAAUGUUUAGUAAACACAAAAUGACUAAUGGUCAUAGUACCUGA
Molecule: RNA transcript, 2408 nt
Organism: Anguilla anguilla (European eel)
Lineage: Eukaryota; Metazoa; Chordata; Actinopteri; Anguilliformes; Anguillidae
Exons: 9
Source: RefSeq, a predicted model, not a curated record